AUACGGGGGGGGCGAGCGUUGUCCGGAAUCAUUGGGCGUAAAGGGUGAGUAGGCGGGAUGGUAAGUCAGGGGCGAAAGUCCAGGGCUCAACUCUGGAUCUGCCUCUGAUACUGCUGUCCUUGAGUGCGGGAGAGGGAAGUGGAAUUCCCGGUGUAGCGGUGAAAUGCGUAGAUAUCGGGAAGAACACCAGUGGCGAAGGCGGCUUCCUGGCCCGCAACUGACGCUGAAUCACGAAAGCGUGGGGAGCAAACAGGAUUAGAUACCCUAGUAGUCC
RNAcentral lists this ribosomal RNA (274 nucleotides) under uncultured bacterium. RNAcentral describes it as "partial 16S ribosomal RNA". It matches the Rfam family "Bacterial small subunit ribosomal RNA", at positions 523 to 796 of the family's 1533-position model. The record is from RNAcentral.